This 238-nucleotide ribosomal RNA is filed under the name uncultured bacterium. Its description in RNAcentral is "partial 16S ribosomal RNA". It matches the Rfam family "Bacterial small subunit ribosomal RNA", at positions 96 to 334 of the family's 1533-position model. The record is from RNAcentral.
CGGCGGACGGGUGAGUAACGCGUGGGUAACCUACCCUGUACACACGGAUAACAUACCGAAAGGUAUGCUAAUACGGGGUAAUAUAUUUGAGAGGCAUCUCUUGAAUAUCAAAGGUGAGCCAGUACAGGAUGGACCCGCGUCUGAUUAGCUAGUUGGUAAGGUAACGGCUUACCAAGGCGACGAUCAGUAGCCGACCUGAGAGGGUGAUCGGCCACAUUGGAACUGAGACACGGUCCAA